CCUACGGGAGGCAGCAGUGAGGAAUAUUGGUCAAUGGACGAGAGUCUGAACCAGCCAAGUAGCGUGAAGGAUGACUGCCCUAUGGGUUGUAAACUUCUUUUAUAUGGGAAUAAAAUGUUCCACGUGUGGGAUUUUGUAUGUACCAUAUGAAUAAGGAUCGGCUAACUCCGUGCCAGCAGCCGCGGUAAUACGGAGGAUGCGAGCGUUAUCCGGAUUUAUUGGGUUUAAAGGGAGCGUAGGUGGAUUGUUAAGUCAGUUGUGAAAGUUUGCGGCUCAACCGUAAAAUUGCAGUUGAAACUGGCAGUCUUGAGUACAGUAGAGGUGGGCGGAAGUCGUGGUGUAGCGGUGAAAUGCUUAGAUAUCACGAAGAACUCCGAUUGCGAAGGCAGUUCACUGGACUGCAACUGACACUGAGGCUCGAAAGUGUGGGUAUCAAACAGGAUUAGAUACCCUUGUAGUC
Molecule: ribosomal RNA, 460 nt
Filed under: uncultured bacterium
Lineage: Bacteria
Description: partial 16S ribosomal RNA
Rfam family: Bacterial small subunit ribosomal RNA
Source: RNAcentral